AGUGAACGCUGGCGGCGUGGAUAAGGCAUGCAAGUCGAGCGAUCCUCGCAAGAGGAUAGCGGCAAACGGGUGAGUAACGCGUAGGUAACCUACCCUGAAGUGUGGGAUAGCCCAGCGAAGUUGGGGUAAUACCACAUGUGCUUGCGGUUCGCAUGUUCCGCAAGGAAAGGUGGCCCUCGACCGAAAGGUUGCCAUCACUUUAGGAGGGACCUGCGUCCCAUCAGCAGUUGGUAGGGUAACGGCCUACCAAGGCUUAUGACGGGUAGCUAGCCUUAGAGGGCGGUUAGGCCACACUGGGACUGAGACACUGCCCAGACUCCUACGGGAGGCUGCAGUCGAGAAUAUUUUGGCAAUGGACGAAAGUCUGACCAUGCGACGCCGCGUGCGGGAUGAAGGCCUCGGUCGUAACCG
This 411-nucleotide ribosomal RNA is filed under the name uncultured bacterium. Its description in RNAcentral is "bacterial SSU rRNA". It matches the Rfam family "Bacterial small subunit ribosomal RNA", at positions 29 to 432 of the family's 1533-position model. The record is from RNAcentral.